UGCGCAAUCUUUUGCCAAAAAUAUGGGUCUGUACAAUGAGCGAGUUGGGUGCUUUUCUGUUGUGUGCUCCAAC
RNAcentral lists this non-coding RNA (73 nucleotides) under Platyophrya macrostoma. Lineage: Eukaryota; Ciliophora; Colpodea; Cyrtolophosidida; Platyophryidae. The record is from RNAcentral.